Molecule: unclassified non-coding RNA, 692 nt
Filed under: Hevea brasiliensis (rubber tree)
Lineage: Eukaryota; Viridiplantae; Streptophyta; Magnoliopsida; Malpighiales; Euphorbiaceae
Source: RNAcentral
UUUUUUUUUUUUUUUUAAUCAUAAUACUCAUUUCAUUCAAAUAAAAUAAAGAGGUACAAUAUUAAAAAUCUAACUAAAACAUCUUUAAACUUAUAAACAAAUAGAUUUUUAGCACUCUUAAUACAUUCAAUUCAAUGUUCACAUAGUUUAAAAAAAAUAAAAAAAGAAAUCAGAUUAGUGAUAAGUGAGCCACCUAAAAUUAGGUGGGAAUGUAGAUUGAAGACCUCCUAUGUGUCACACUGAGCUAGUGACACUGUGAGUCUCAAAGCGAGGUGGGGUUUGUUAAUCUCUAGAUAAACAUUCUGAGACAGUCUGCAAACUAAUAGUCUAAGCUUUUUUUAUAUUAAAGAAAUACCAUUCACUAUAAAGAUAGAUUAGAUGUCGAAUAGAUCUAUCUAAAACACCACCUGAUCUAGCAUUCUUUCUCUUUCCGAGCACAAAAAACCCUUUAAGGGAGACUAGAGGUGAACUAACAAAAAAUGACAUAAAGCCCUCACUAAAAUGGAUGAAACCCAUAUGAAAAAUAAAGAGACAAAAGAAAGAAAGACGAAGGAAUAGGAGAAAGAAGAAGAAGAUAGAAGAUGAAGAAGGUGAGAAGGAAAGAGAGGACAGCCCCUCCCCAAAGCCAUUUUCUUGUUGAGAGGGUUUUUAGUGAGAGAAAGCUUAGAGAGUUUUUGAGAAGAAUUUUAAAU